RNAcentral lists this ribosomal RNA (490 nucleotides) under uncultured bacterium. RNAcentral describes it as "bacterial SSU rRNA". It matches the Rfam family "Bacterial small subunit ribosomal RNA", at positions 28 to 507 of the family's 1533-position model. The record is from RNAcentral.
GAUGAACGCUAGCUACAGGCUUAACACAUGCAAGUCGAGGGGCAGCAUUUAGUUUGCUUGACAACUAAAGAUGGCGACCGGCGCACGGGUGAGUAACACGUAUCCAACCUGCCGAUAACUCUGGGAUAGCCUUUCGAAAGAAAGAUUAAUACCGGAUGGCAUAGGAUUAUCGCAUGAUAAUCCUAUUAAAGAAUUUCGGUUAUCGAUGGGGAUGCGUUCCAUUAGGCAGUAGGCGGGGUAACGGCCCACCUAGCCGACGAUGGAUAGGGGUUCUGAGAGGAAGGUCCCCCACAUUGGAACUGAGACACGGUCCAAACUCCUACGGGAGGCAGCAGUGAGGAAUAUUGGUCAAUGGGCGAGAGCCUGAACCAGCCAAGUCGCGUGGAGGAAGACGGCCCUACGGGUUGUAAACUCCUUUUACCUGGGAAUAACGGGCGCUACGCGUAGCGCUGUGCAUGUACCGGGAGAAUAAGCAUCGGCUAAUUCCGUG